UAGAGUUUUCAAAACUCCCAACCCAUGUGAAUUUACCUUUGUUGCCUCGGCGGACCUACCCGGUACCUACCCUGUAGCUACCCUGUAGCCCGCCGGUGGACUAUUUAACUCUUGUUAUUUUAUAGAAAUCUGAGCGUCUUAUUAAAUAAGUCA
RNAcentral lists this unclassified non-coding RNA (153 nucleotides) under uncultured Phlogicylindrium. RNAcentral's name for it is "sequence contains ITS1". The record is from RNAcentral. Lineage: Eukaryota; Fungi; Ascomycota; Sordariomycetes.